AAAUUGAAUAAAAAAAUAAAUGUACACUAUUAAGUUUAUUUUGGUUGCCGAAACAAGUAUUCUGUAAAAAGAAACCUGUAAUAUGAGUAUCUGAAAAGUGUUAACCAAAAUAUAUUCAGAUAUGACAAUGAUAUUAAUCAAGUUAGUCAAUUAAAAUAUAACACAAACUUAAUUCACCUAAUUAAUAUUUUCGCAUAAAACGAAGAGGCCGACCUCAAGUAGUUGGGGAAUUAAGGCGAGGAAAAAGAAGACAUAAAAUGAUUUUUCAAAAAUUGAAUGAAAAUAAUAAGAGUGAAUAUACUAAAACGAAAACCAGAGCGAAUCAAUAAUAUAUUGAAGUUGGCUGUUGAACUUGCUAAAGAUUCCAAAACCCUUGGAUACGUAAUCUAAAAUGGUAGAAUUUGUCCAGA
This is a long non-coding RNA of Daktulosphaira vitifoliae (grape phylloxera), 410 nucleotides long. RefSeq lists it as uncharacterized. The transcript has 3 exons. The record is from RefSeq and is a predicted model, not a curated record. Lineage: Eukaryota; Metazoa; Arthropoda; Insecta; Hemiptera; Phylloxeridae.